UUAGGUCUAAUGACAACCCAGUGAUAGUGGUUUUGGACAUGAUUUAGGUCUAAUGACAACCCAGUGAUAGUGGUUUUGGACAUGAUUUAGGUCUAAUGACAACCCAGUGAUAGUGUUUUUGGACAUGAUUUAGGUCUAAUGACAACCCAGUGAUAGUGGUUUUGGACAUGAUUUAGGUCUAAUGACAACCCAGUGAUAGUGUUUUUGGACAUGAUUUAGGUCUAAUGACAACCCAGUGAUAGUGGUUUUGGACAUGAUUUAGGUCUAAUGACAACCCAGUGAUAGUAGUUUUGGACAUGAUUUAGGUCUAAUGACAACCCAGUGAUAGUGGUUUUGGACAUGAUUUAGGUCUAAUGACAACCCAGUGAUAGUGUUUUUGGACAUGAUUUAGGUCUAAUGACAACCCAGUGAUAGUGGUUUUGGACAUGAUUUAGGUCUAAUGACAACCCAGUGAUAGUGGUUUUGGACAUGAUUUAGGUCUAAUGACAACCCAGUGAUAGUGGUUUUGGACAUGAUUUAGGUCUAAUGACAACCCAGUGAUAGUGUUUUUGGACAUGAUUUAGGUCUAAUGACAACCCAGUGAUAGUGGUUUUGGACAUGAUUUAGGUCUAAUGACAACCCAGUGAUAGUGGUUUUGGACAUGAUUUAGGUCUAAUGACAACCCAGUGAUAGUGGUUUUGGACAUGAUUUAGGUCUAAUGACAACCCAGUGAUAGUGUUUUUGGACAUGAUUUAGGUCUAAUGACAACCCAGUGAUAGUGUUUUUGGACAUGAUUUAGGUCUAAUGACAACCCAGUGAUAGUGGUUUUGGACAUGAUUUAGGUCUAAUGACAACCCAGUGAUAGUGGUUUUGGACAUGAUUUAGGUCUAAUGACAACCCAGUGAUAGUGGUUUUGGACAUGAUUUAGGUCUAAUGUCAACCCAGUGAUAGUGGUUUUGGACAUGAUUUAGGUCUAAUGUCAACCCAGUGAUAGUGGUUUUGGACAUGAUUUAGGUCUAAUGACAACCCAG
Molecule: long non-coding RNA, 1010 nt
Organism: Oncorhynchus keta (chum salmon)
Lineage: Eukaryota; Metazoa; Chordata; Actinopteri; Salmoniformes; Salmonidae
Exons: 3
Source: RefSeq, a predicted model, not a curated record